GCACCCGUAGCUCAAUUGGAUAGAGCAUCGGUCUUCGGAACCGAAGGUUGUAGGUUCGAGCCCUACCGGGUGCA
This 74-nucleotide transfer RNA is filed under the name Planctomycetaceae bacterium. Its description in RNAcentral is "tRNA-Arg". It matches the Rfam family "tRNA". From Rfam's summary of the family: Transfer RNA (tRNA) molecules are approximately 80 nucleotides in length. Their secondary structure includes four short double-helical elements and three loops (D, anti-codon, and T loops). The record is from RNAcentral. Lineage: Bacteria; Pseudomonadati; Planctomycetota; Planctomycetia; Planctomycetales; Planctomycetaceae.